Molecule: ribosomal RNA, 73 nt
Filed under: Lysinibacillus telephonicus
Lineage: Bacteria; Bacillati; Bacillota; Bacilli; Caryophanales; Bacillaceae
Description: partial 16S ribosomal RNA
Rfam family: Bacterial small subunit ribosomal RNA
Source: RNAcentral
UUUCUUUUAUGGAGAGUUUGAUCCUGGCUCAGGACGAACGCUGGCGGCGUGCCUAAUACAUGCAAGUCGAGCG